UGCCAGCCGCCGCGGUAAUACGGAGGGUGCAAGCGUUGUUCGGAAUUAUUGGGUUUAAAGGGUCCGUAGGCGGGAAAAUAAGUCAGUGGUGAAAGCCUGCAGCUUAACUGCAGAACUGCCAUUGAAACUGUUUUUCUUGAGUAUAGAUGAAGUGGGCGGAAUGUAUCAUGUAGCGGUGAAAUGCAUAGAUAUGAUACAGAACACCGAUUGCGAAGGCAGCUCACUAAACUAUUACUGACGCUGAGGCGCGAAAGCGUGGGUAGCAAACAGGAUUAGAUA
RNAcentral lists this ribosomal RNA (279 nucleotides) under uncultured bacterium. Its description in RNAcentral is "partial 16S ribosomal RNA". It matches the Rfam family "Bacterial small subunit ribosomal RNA", at positions 506 to 784 of the family's 1533-position model. The record is from RNAcentral.